UAGGAAUGAGUUCAGUAAAGG
RNAcentral lists this non-coding RNA (21 nucleotides) under Caenorhabditis elegans. The record is from RNAcentral. Lineage: Eukaryota; Metazoa; Nematoda; Chromadorea; Rhabditida; Rhabditidae.